GUCUAGACGAUUCACUUUGGGCUCAAAGAACAGCUUUUAAGACACCAAUAUGGAUGUCUCCCUAUCGACUUGUUUUUGGCAAGGCAUGUCACAUUCUUAUAGAGAUAGAACACCGUGCUUAUUAGGCGGUAAAAAGUUGUAAUUUGGAGAUGCAACAAGCAGUUAUUGAAAGAAAACUCCAAUAAUAACAACUUGAAGAACUUAGGCUAGAGGCUUAUGAGAGCUAUAGGAUUUAUAAA
RNAcentral lists this long non-coding RNA (239 nucleotides) under Lathyrus oleraceus (garden pea). Its description in RNAcentral is "Pisum sativum (pea) long non-coding RNA (PSAT_LNC019126)". Lineage: Eukaryota; Viridiplantae; Streptophyta; Magnoliopsida; Fabales; Fabaceae. The record is from RNAcentral.